UACGUAGGGCGCAAGCGUUGUCCGGAAUUAUUGGGCGUAAAGAGCUCGUAGGCGGUUUGUCGCGUCUGCUGUGAAAACCUAAGGCUCAACCUUGGGCUUGCAGUGGGUACGGGCAGACUAGAGUGCGGUAGGGGGUGACUGGAAUUCCUGGUGUAGCGGUGGAAUGCGCAGAUAUCAGGAGGAACACCGGUGGGCGAAGGC
RNAcentral lists this ribosomal RNA (201 nucleotides) under uncultured bacterium. RNAcentral's name for it is "partial 16S ribosomal RNA". It matches the Rfam family "Bacterial small subunit ribosomal RNA", at positions 524 to 722 of the family's 1533-position model. The record is from RNAcentral.